UUGGAUCAAAACCCUGGUCAUUGUCUAUUUAAAAAGGGCUUCAAUUGUUGACACCAUAUGGGAAUUUCCUCUUGCUGCUUUUUAUUUUUCUAGAGCUCCUCUCCUCUCUUCCCCUCUAGAUCCCCUCUUCGUUUGGAGCAUCCAAAGCUUUUGAAGAAGAAAAAAGAAAUCAGCCUUUAAAAUCCUUGCAAGCUAGCACUUCCAAGGAGCUUGAUCUGCACUAGUUUUCGUGUGGACGAUUUGUAAAGGCCGAAUGACUUCAUGUGGCUACAAGCAACC
RNAcentral lists this long non-coding RNA (279 nucleotides) under Elaeis guineensis (African oil palm). RNAcentral's name for it is "long non-coding RNA (EGUI_LNC067542)". The record is from RNAcentral. Lineage: Eukaryota; Viridiplantae; Streptophyta; Magnoliopsida; Arecales; Arecaceae.